CCCUUGCAAUUUCCAACCACCAUUCAAAUUUCCAACCAAAACAGUUGUAUAAAGAUACACAAUUUAACUAUUUAUAAACGCCACAUUUUAGAUCGAACCAUAACAUAUAUAUAUACAGUGACGCCACAUUACAUAAAGUCGUCUAUAUAUGCCAUAAUUUCCGGAAUACCAGUUGCAAAAUACCCAAACGCGGAUGAUAGUGUGGAUGAUUGUCCGACUCCGUCCCAAUUCUAAGUUGAUGGAUAUCACUAUAAUCAAGGGAAAAAUAAAAGCAAGUAAGCAUAUAGUUUAGUAAGUAAACAUAUGACAAGUGGAUAAAUUUCCCACAUGAUUACACCAAAAUAUAACUUUUAUCACAAACAAAUUUCAUUAUUUGGUCAAAUUCCAGCAAGCAGUAUUUCUGCAUCAUGGUCACUAAUUUAUUUUUAUCGGGAGCUAAAGGGCUCCAAAUCAAAUUCCGUAAAUUCUCCCUGAAACUAGAUUCAUAUAUAUUUCCACCAUAAAAUUUUCAGAAUUUUUGGUCAGGCAAAUUAGUACAGUUUAUUCAUUAAAGUUUCCCCUGUUUCACUACCCGACAGUCCUGACCUCCCCUUACAAAAAUUCACAUAACUCUCUAUAAAAGUUUCAAAAAAUGUUCUCGUUUAUUUAUAUUAAAAAUAGACUCAAAAAGGAAUCCAUUCAUAUAAAUUUCAAGCCAUAAUUAUUUUUUUAUAAUUUUUUGUGAUUUUACAAAGUUGGAACAGGGGAUUUCGAAUUCAAUCCAACCCUGUCUCAGUAAAAUUUAAAUAUCCCCAAAUAUAUAAUUCCUUUGCUUUCCCCACUUCUUUCAUAUGAAAAUAGACUCAUUCAGCUUCAAUUUAAUAUUUUAUUCAACCUCCAAUUCAUUUUUCAUCAUUUAUGGUGAUUUUUCAAAGUUGCCCAACUGCUGCCACUCAAAACAGUUUUACAUUCAAAUUGUUUCUUUUGUAUUUUUUUUAUUUUUCCUCCCAUCUUAUACAUGGGUUGAUUAAGUAUCAAACCCGAUAUUCCUCCCAUAAACCCGUCCACCACAUAUAUGAAUAUUCACCUUCUCAAUUUACUCGUUGAACACUCGGAAUGUUAACCGUUGUUGGUGGAUUCCGCACUUAGCACCACCAAUGAAUCGGGGAAUCAGCACACAGCAACCCCUUGGGGGAAUCAGCACUUAGCAACCCCCUUCACAUUUCAGAUGCGGUGGAAUCAGCACUUAGCAACCACCAAAUGGGUCGGGGAAUCAGCACUUAGCAACCCCUCGGGGGAAUCAGCACUUAGCAACCCCCUUUCACAUUUAAAAUACGGUGGAAUCAACACUUAGCAACCACCAAUAGGUAGGGGAAUCAGCACUUAGCAACCCCUCGGGGGAAUCAGCACUUAGCAACCCCCUUCCACAUUUAAAAUACGGUGGAAUCAGCACUUAGCAACCAUCAAUGAAUAGGGGAAUCAGCACACAACAACCCCUUUAUAUGCAAUAUGCUCCGGCCUAUUCCGAGUGUUCAACCAAAAACCGUGUUUUGCAACUCCUUACCACCUUUCCCAAUUUAACAACAUUUUUGGAAUCUUGCCAAACAUUUAUUUUAUAUUCAAAUAAAUCUCAACACAUAUCAAAUAAUACCAAAAUAAUACAUUAAGUCACGUGUUUACUUAUCUCGGUGCAAAAUAUCGUAAUUUUGCAAUUCACUCCACUAUCUUUUCUUUUCCUCGUUUGAGAUAAUCUUCCCGUCUCUCUUGAUCUAUAAUAGCAAAUUUAACUCGUUUAAUGUUCACAUUUAUUAAAAUAGUCCACCACCCAACUUUUUGAAAAAUUACAAUUUUGCCCCCAAACUUUUGCAUAACUACACUUUUGUCCCCAAGCUCGGAAAUUAAACUUCAUCACUUAUUCUUAUGUUUUAUGACAUGUUGAACACUUUUCCCUUCUAUGGAAACAUCAAAUUCUCACUCUAACACAUACUUUUGAACAUUAACUAUUUUUACCGAUUAUGUCAAUUUACUCGUUUUCGUUUAAAAUCGCUUAGCAAAAAUUAUUUAACAUAAUUUCUAGCUUCAUAUUCCACCAUAAAACAGCAAAAUAAACACAUUUCACAUAUGGGUAUUUUUCCAAAUAUGAAUCCUAACACGAAUUAUUACUAGAAUAAGCUAAACCGAGCUACGAGGAUUCUAAAAAUGCGAAGAACAUUAAAAACGGGGCUAAGAUGCACUUACUAUAAGCUUGAAAAAGCAAAGAAACCUUAGCUAUGGUGUCCCUUAAAAUUUGGCAGCAACUUAUGGAGAAGAUGAUGAUUUUUGUCAUCUUUUUCCCAUUUUAUUCUUUUUAUAACCAAAUGACUAAAAUGCCCCCACUUAAAAAAAAUCUAUUUCUCAUUUCUUAUGUCUAUUUUUGUCCAUCAAUUACUAAUGGUCUAAUUAUCACAUAAAUACCCCCAACUUAUAAUUUCAUAUCAAUUAGACACUUCUACAUAUAGAACUCAACUUUUACACUUUUUACAAUUUAGUCCUUUUGACUAAAUUGAGUGCCCAAACGUCGAAAUUUUCGAACGAAAUUUUUACAAAAAUUUUCCGUGAAAUUGUAGACCAUAAAAAUAUAAUAAUAACCAUAUUUUCCCUUGUCGGAUUUGUGGUCCCGAAACCACUAUUCCGACUAGGCCCAAAAUCGGGCUGUUACAGAUAGUACAAAUUUUCUCUAUUCGAUGUUAAACCAAAACAUGUUACUUCAUUACCAACUAACCUUACUAAAUAUACACCUUAUACUAGCCCAAGUGUUUAACCAUUCACCCAUGACAUAAAUAUAUUUUAUCUAUUAUUGCAAAAUAUAGAUGUGCUGCCCAAAUCAUAAUUCACCUCACAUAGUAAACGAGUUAAUUUUUAUCAUUUGUCAGAUAAAUUACAAAACAAGUUAUAUAACAAAAUAUAGAUACAUUUUAAACCUCACCAAUAAACAAAUUCUCAUGGCAUUAAAUAAUCAUCACGCAUCAAAGACGAACGUACUUGACAUUUCCAUCACAUAAACCGAAUUAAUCAAUGCAACCUCAAUGGUAUAAUCAUCCUUUUAACUUACUUAACCAGGCCAAAUUAUAUCAUCAUCUCACACAUAGAAUGACCCACCUAUCAUACUUCUCAAUUAUGUCACUUAAUAGACCAAAUAUACCUAACAUUUACCAUCAUGAUCAAUCCACAACCAAAAUACAUCCAUAUAUCAAAAUUACCACACACACAUAUAUAUAUACCAUGACUAAAUUUCUUAUACAUUUGAUCAAUUGCUUCUUAAUGCCGCAAUAAUUCUCUCAAUACCAAUAUGUAUUUACCAUUCAAUUUACCAUUGACCGAUUAUAAUCGGGCAUAUAACUAUUUAUACACAAUUCAUUCAUAUAUUUUAUUGUCCUCCUCCUCCUCUCCAUUCCACAUCCUUAAUGUAUAUAACACGCUUAAUAACAUUAUACAUAAUUUCAUUACUCACUUAUAUGUAAAUUUAAAGUUUCCCAUCUGAGUCAGAGUCACUAAAUUGUUUUAUUCCGGAGCUACAGAGCUCAAAAUUAAAAUUUGUUAAUUUUAUCUGAAACUAGUUUCAUAUAUAUUUUUACCAUAAAAAUUUCAGAAUUUUUGACUUAGCCAAUAAGUAUAAUUUAUUCUUUAAAGUUUCCCCUGUUGCACUGCUCGACAGUUCUAACCGCUCUUCACUAAAAAUUGAUUAUCUCAUUGUGCAGAAUUCGGAUGGUAUUCCCGUUUAUUUCUCAUGAAAAUAGGAUCUUUCAGGAUUCUAAAAAUAUAAAGUUUAACCCAUAAUUAAUUUUGUACAAUUUUUAAUGAUUUUCCAAAGUCAGAACAGGGGAUUCUGAAAUUAUUCUGACUCUAUCUCACAAAAUUUAUUAUAUCUCAUGAUUUACAAUUUCAUUGCUUACAUCGUUUCUUUUAUGAGAAACUAGACUCAAUAAGCUUUAAUUUCAUAUUUUACUCAUCUUCUAAUUUGAUUCCCACGAUUUUUGGUGAUUUUUCAAAGUUGGCACACUGCUGCUGCCCAAAACUGUUUUAGUGCAAUAUGUUGAUUACCAUUUUGACCCUAAACUUUUAACACAUGACAAUUUCAUCCCUAGGCUCAGAAAAUGAAAUUAUUGCAAUUUAAUCCUUGAUCCAAGCCUAAUAAUUCUCAUACAUAUCAAUAACAGCCAAUGGAUUCCAUGAAAUUUCAGAAUUUUUCCAUAAUUUCAAUACUUUUCAACUUAAUCCCUAAAACAUGUUUUCAUCCAAAAUUCUUUAAUAAAACACCUUUAAACAUCCAUUAACAUAUCAAUUUCAUCAUAAAAUAACAAAAAUCAUAUGAAAUUAUCAAUGGUAUCUUCCUAAACUUUCAAAAAAAUGAGAAACUAACAGAAUACUAAGUUGGACCUAAUUGUAAAAGUCUAAAAAUAUAAAAAUUUCAAGGAAAAAGUAAGAAUUACACUUACUUGAAGCUAAAAUAUGGAAUACCAGCUCUAAACCCUCUUCCACAGCUAU
RNAcentral lists this long non-coding RNA (4503 nucleotides) under Gossypium barbadense (sea-island cotton). Its description in RNAcentral is "long non-coding RNA (GBAR_LNC016890)". The record is from RNAcentral. Lineage: Eukaryota; Viridiplantae; Streptophyta; Magnoliopsida; Malvales; Malvaceae.